GCCUAUAUUUUUGGAAGGUAUAAAUAUCUUUAACUCUCAUGAAUCCUUAUAUUAUUACGGCCAUAUGAUAGACUCGUCCAGAUUAGUUAUUUUAGCUAUGUAUGUGCAGUGUUGGCAAUACAUGGGAGUGUAGUUUUUGUUGCAUGUGUAGUUCUAUGUUUGGCCCUUUGAUCUUGAAAAACAACUGCUUCUUGCCGCUCUUCAAGUUAUGUCUUUUGGGACAAUUUCAAGUGCCUCACUUCCUCUACACAUGGAUCCUGUAGGUAUAUCCUAAUGUAAGUGACACUGUUUUCCUUCUUUAUGUACCUGGACGGGAGUGCUCAUGAGGAUGACGACAUGCUACUGAACUCAAUUUCAGAAAUGGAAUUGGGGCCUGGGGUUUGGAGCCCGCCCCUCAUUAGAAGUGCCCAGGCGGCAUGUCACAGUUUUUUGCUGAGAAUUUACUAAGAACAAUUUUUGCUUGUCUUUAGCAUGAGGCUAUAAGCCCUAUAGCAGUUCCAGUGUGAUGGUCUACCACUUGACUAGGAAGGGGGGAUUGAAAGAUAGCACUUGUCGUUUGGAUCAAUUAGUAUUGGAUAUUUGAGGAAGUAAAUGUUUAAACCACUAAACCUUAUAUUCUUUCGUGAAAAGGUUAUGUGUUUUUAAUCCAUUAGCAGAGUUAGUUUGUCUAAAAUAACUAACUAUUUGGACUAAUAUGGAAUGAUAAAAAUUUCAGAACUAGAUGUAAAAUUUGAUGCGCAUGGCUUUGUUUAACUUGCAGUCUGUAUUUCUAAUAUCUUCUUUGUUGCUGAGGUUGCUUCUAGGUUUUAUUACUGUGGAUCUAAUUUAGAUAAUUUGUAAAUAAUCCUAUGUAGGAGUAUGCUCAUCUAUAACAGUUGGGGAGGGAAAUCGUAUGAAUUACAUAUUUUGUCAAAAAUUGGCAUUACUAUAUGCAUAAAUCUAAAUUAUUGUUCAUAAUGGAUUCACCACUGCUCUACAUAAGCUACAUUUGCUAAUUGCUAUGUAUAUAAGCUGAAUUAGUACCACUACUUCCUGUUUUCUUGCUUGCAAUACCAUGUAUUACCUCUUUACUUUGUUCUCCACAUUUUAAAUUUUGUCUUUCUUUGCAAGUAUAGUGGCCAACUUAUGGUCUGCAUUGUGUAUAACCGAAAUGAUUGUAGUUUCCUAAUACCAUUAUCUAUAACCGAAAUGAGUAGUUUCGUAAUACCAAAGCAUGUGCGCUCACGUAUUUGUCUCUUAGUGUUGCUGAAUGCAUGAAAACCAUGCCCAUGGCCAAAAGCUAAAAAAGUACGAGAAAUUGGGUUUUCAUUUCUCUUAGAAUUGUACAUGUUCAUGUUGUUGUCAUUUUUUCUGAAAUUUAGACAACUCUUUUCGCUUAAUAAUAGUUUACCGAUUUCAGUGCAUCCUAUAUAUAUGUAUGUUUUGACUGAUUGGUCGUCCUCUCAUUCGGACUUACUCAGUGUUGCGUUUGUGUGUUCCUUUAUCAUGCGCUGCUUAUUUUUUGGUUGUGUGAGCGGGUUGUGUGUUGUUGUUUCCAUCCUCAUUUAGUAUGCUGAUGUUUUUAAGAUGACCUCUAUAUUGCUGGAAACUUAAAUUUUAGUUCAUACAUUUGAGCAACUAACUAGAUUAAAAAAUAAUUUCUGUAAGAUUGAGGCCAGUUUAUUUGGUAAGGUAGAAGAAAAAUAAGAUGAAUACGCACAUGUUAUUACUGUACAAAGGCUAAACACUGAAUAACACUGAUGGUUCUUUCCUGAGGUUGAGUAGGAGUGUAUCCCUUUUCUGUAUAAUUAUGUCUUCGAAAUUGCCGAAAGAAUAGCUAGGUUCUAGAACAAACAUGCUAUGAAUAAUUGCAUUACUACUUCAGUGAAAAGUUCCUGGGCAUACUAUGUGUUCCUCUAGACUUGGUUGAAAGUAUUUCUUUUGUUAUCCGAUUUCUCACUAGGUACCUUUGUUGAUGAAUGUGUUCCUCUAGACUUGGUUAUAUAGACUCACAUGAUUACCUGAUGCGGAUUCUACAACUUGGAAAACACAUCUAGAAUAUUCAAGUUGUCUGUGGUGCCCUGGAGAAAGCUUGCUACUCCAAUCAACCACCUUACACGAGAAUCCAGAAUUGAUUUGUCAUUUCAUGUUUGCACUAUUAGAGUUUACCAACAACGCAUCAAGGACAAAGUGUGUCAUGGAUUCCUAAGUUCCAGCUAACAUAGCAAAAUUGUAUAGAGAGAAUACCUGCAUUUUGCUAUUACAUAGUUUGAGGCUAUGUUUCUUGUAAUUUUGAUUAUUAAAAGGAUAUCAUUGCCAAAUUAUCAAGCAUUUAUUUAUUUUCACAUAACUCUUGAUUUGAAAUGGGACCUUGCCCCAUUUGGCGCAAUGAGUAAUGUUAUUAUAUGUCUUAUUGUAGACAAGAAGCCAACAUUCUUAUUGUAAACAGCAAACCUUUGUUCUUUUUUUUGUUAAGAGGGGUUAAAUUUGUUACCAUAUGUGCUUGCCCACAACUGAACUAUGAAUUUUCUUUUCAAUGUACAUAUGGAGCUUGCCCACAACUAAACUAUGAAUUUUCUUUUCAAUGUACAUAUGGAUUCAACGGGUCUCUGUGCCCUUUUUGGCGAUGGCACUCUUGCUCUAAAAAAAGGUUCUGUACCCAGUUUUAUUCCACAGGUUCUGGGAGAUCCUUCGUGUAAAUGAUAGCAUGCAAAAAUGUCAUAUAUUUUGUGAUGGAGGGAGUAUUACUUAUCCAUGUUAAUAUUGUGAAGGAUAAGUUACAUAGGGGAGAAACUUUAUCACCAAAUAAAGGCUUUGAUAUGCAAAUAAUUCUCUGUUCAGAUCAUAUACGCCUAAGUUGAGAAAAAUAAUGGCUUUAAGUUCUUUGUUAAAUUGGGCUGUAGUUCCAUUUUGCUUCAAGUUCUCAACUGUUUGAAUAAGGAAGAUAAUUACAAUCAUUCUUUCUCUUGCCUAAUUACAUCUUGAUAUUAGUAGGCUGAAAAUGACAUUGCAUAUUUUAAAAGAAUCGUUCAUACCUUUAAGCAUUACGAAGAUACAAACAAUUGAUACAUUGGAAAACACUAUUUUGCAGAUAACUCUGGGUUUGAACUGGAACCUUGUGUCAUUUGGUGCAAUGGGUAAUUUUGUUCACAGUACUUGCUUAUGAAGUUAAAGUUGGCAUAUAUGCCUGCCCAUGAACAAGUCUAUUGAUACAUGUUUUUUAAAGCACACAUGUUAGUGGGUCUCCGUGUCAUUUGCGUACAUGAUUUCAAAUGGAUCCAUUUGCGUACAUGAUUUCAAAUGGAUCCAUUUGCGUACAUGAUUUCAAAUGGAUCUUUGCGAAUAUGGUAGCAAGUAUUUUGUGCUAUGAAAUUAAAAUGUGUACAUACAUCUCAUCGUAGACAACAAUCCAACAUGUUUCUUAUUAAAGGGGAUCAAU
Molecule: long non-coding RNA, 3418 nt
Filed under: Triticum aestivum (bread wheat)
Lineage: Eukaryota; Viridiplantae; Streptophyta; Magnoliopsida; Poales; Poaceae
Description: long non-coding RNA (TAES_LNC003892)
Source: RNAcentral